Molecule: long non-coding RNA, 2333 nt
Filed under: Sus scrofa (pig)
Lineage: Eukaryota; Metazoa; Chordata; Mammalia; Artiodactyla; Suidae
Description: lncRNA (ENSSSCG00005021116.1)
Source: RNAcentral
GGGCAGGGUGCUGGGGUGCUGGCGGGCCACCUGCGCAGGGCGUGGCCCGGUCACCCAGGUGCUGCCUGGCCUGCCUGAGGUGGCGCAGAAGCGCAAAAGCUGGGUGCGCGGCUGGUGUCCCGGGGGCCCUUCCCUCCAGCUCCGGGCUCCUGUCCCCCACACACCUGUAGAUCACUGAUCUCCCAGAACACGGCCCCCAGAGACCAGCCAUGUCCAAGACGACCGUGUCGGCAGCACGCCGCUACCUGCCCCGCGGCUUCCUGCCCGGCGGGCUUGGGGCACCCCGGCAGCCUGCGUGGCGAGACCCUGUCUGGCUGGUGAGGACAGAGGACAUCUUCCACUUGGGUCACGAGGCGAGAGACCAACACGUUUCUGGGAGAAGCUCUGCCAAGGGGCUGCCUUGGCUGUGCCCCGCCUGGGACCCCUGCCGCUCCCUGGGCCCUGGCUCCUGGCGACAGCCCCCCUCCGGCACUUUCCUGGCAAGGGUGCCACAAACAGAGCUGGCACAGGGAAGUGACGUGCCUUCUCCUGCCCCUCCAACACCCUCAUGCACGCCAGCGAAGGCGGGGUGGGGUGUCUGUGCACACGUGUGUGUGUGUGUGUGUGUGUGUGUGUGUGUGUGUGCACGCAUAGCCAGGCCAGCCUGCAUCCUCUGUACACACUCAACCCCAGAAGAACAAACUCGGAAGACACCCACACGGGCUCUACCUGCCAUCCUGGGAGGGGUGCUUGCACCCCCACCCCACACCACCCCAACUCCCCACCAGACAGAGAGUGCGCGUCACUGUCCACUUUACAGAUGGACAAAGAGAGGCUCUGGGAAGCUGAGAGCUGCCCUCUGGGUCCAGAUGGAGCCAGUCUCGGCUCCGAAUGCAGAGCACAGCUUGUCCCUCUGUCUGGAUGGGCUGUCAAGGCCGGCAGGACAGGUCCCAGUGCCACAGGGCAACUCAGGGGCCACACUCCAUCAGAGCAACAGUGAGUGCCAAGGUCAGGGUAGCCACCCAUUGGAGGGAUGGCCCGGCGCCUGCCUCAUCCGCUCUCCCCAGACACACAGCCUCCCGCCUCCCCAGGGCCCCCAUCCAACUGCCCACACGCCCACCUCUGCACAGGGUGAGCAGGCACCAGCUCCAGGGCCAGCAGCCCACAUCCAACGUGGCGCCACGUCCAGGCACCGCCAGGGGAAGGUGGCAGGUCCUCCAAGGAGCACAGCCUACUCACGGCCCCGGGCAGAGGGCCCCGCUCCCACCACAAGAGGGACAGGGCAGAGGGAGGGUAGGAGGGACCACACUCCCGAGCCAGGAAGUCCGGCUUCUCAGAGCAGCUUUACACGACUCCCGCCUCUGCCCCCUAAAAUGACUGGGACGUCCGUCCCGGGACCACUCUCAAAGGAAGAAAACCAACUCCGGGAGUCCAGGCUGGGGGGGCUUCCGGGACGGAUGAUCCUGAGCUGGAUGGAGCUCUCCCGGUUGGAGCCACAGAGACGACAGUGGGCUCACACUUGAGAAAGUGGCCGCAAGAGCUUCCGGAACGAAAUGGCCUGAGAGGUGAGACUGGGAGAAUGAAGGCCGGCAGGGGCUGCAGGAAAGGCAGAGCUCAGCACGGCAGUCAGCUCCCCUCCCCAUGUCCCCCAGGGGGCCCCCGCCCCCAGGCGUGCCCUUCUCAGCCCCACAGCCUUCAGGGGACAGAGGGUCAGGACCCUGGCAGGGCCUGGGGAGGCCAGGCUGGCCUGAGGGCACGCACAGCAAAACCAAAUACCAGGAGCCAAGGCACCCAUGCUGCUCCAGGAGCCCCUGCCCCCGAGUGGGGUGGGCAGCAAGGGUACUAUUGGCUCUUCUGGGAGCCAGGAGACCUGGAGGGCAGCCAGUGGGGGUUCCAGCUGGUGGGAAGGGCCAAGAAGCCGUCCAGGUUCAAAUAAAGUGACAACUCAUGUCUUUGGCACAGCGCCCAGAGUGACACCCGAGCACAGUGGCCUCCAGGAGGAGGGACUCGGGGGGGGGGGGGGCCCCUUGCCAUCACCCCUGCGGGCUCUGAGCCACAGGCUGGGUGACACCAGCAGCAGGUCCAAAUUCUGGCCAACGCUCCCAGCCCUGGUCCAUGAGUGGGGGCCUCCUGGGACCGCAAGGCUCGGACACAAACCACGCACAGUGGGGAAGGAGCAGCCAAGCUCCCAGGACCCCCCAUGCCUCCGAUUCCUUGGGCACUGGGCGCCCGCCUCCCACCCCAGCUCUACCCCGGGACCCGAGUCUUCUAGCGCCCCGAGCCCCACUGACCUCUCCCGAGUGGGUCUGGGGGCAGGCAGCCCCAAGUGGGUUCAGGCUGGGGCAAGGUCUAUC